Molecule: ribosomal RNA, 423 nt
Filed under: uncultured bacterium
Lineage: Bacteria
Description: bacterial SSU rRNA
Rfam family: Bacterial small subunit ribosomal RNA
Source: RNAcentral
UAAGGAAUAUUGGACAAUGGCCGCAAGGCUGAUCCAGCCAUGCCGCGUGCAGGAUGACGGCGCUCUGCGUUGUAAACUGCUUUUACCCGGGAAAAAACCCCUGCUUUCCAGCGGGGCUGAUUGUACCGGGAGAAUAAGGGACGGCUAACUUCGUGCCAGCAGCCGCGGUAAUACGAAGGUCCCAAGCGUUAUCCGGAUUUAUUGGGUUUAAAGGGUGCGUAGGCGGCUUAUUAAGUCAGUGGUGAAAGCUCCAUGCUUAACAUGGAAAUUGCCAUUGAUACUGAUGAGCUUGAGUAUAUUUGAAGUGGGCGGAAUGUGUCGUGUAGCGGUGAAAUGCUUAGAUAUGACACAGAACACCGAUUGCGUAGGCAGCUCACUAAACUAUAACUGACGCUGAGGCACGAAAGCAUGGGGAUCAAACAG